This 66-nucleotide transfer RNA is filed under the name marine eukaryotic metagenome. It matches the Rfam family "tRNA". Rfam says of the family: Transfer RNA (tRNA) molecules are approximately 80 nucleotides in length. Their secondary structure includes four short double-helical elements and three loops (D, anti-codon, and T loops). The record is from RNAcentral.
GGUGUAGCUCAACUGGUAGAGUAGCGGUCUCCAAAACCGUUGGUUGUGGGUUCGAUUCCUACCACC